Long non-coding RNA from Solanum lycopersicum (tomato), 1394 nucleotides. RefSeq lists it as uncharacterized. The record is from RefSeq and is a predicted model, not a curated record. Lineage: Eukaryota; Viridiplantae; Streptophyta; Magnoliopsida; Solanales; Solanaceae.
AGUACACAACUCUUUCUCUCCAUUAGCUCAAUUUCUAUUCAAAAACUCAUAUUCUCAAAUUUCCGCUUCAUUUGUCUCCAUUAGCUCAACUUUUCUUAGAAAUUCUUCCAAUUGUUACUCUCAAAUCUGUUAAAACACUUCUAAUUUCACAGAAUGUGAACUAUUUUAUCAGAUUGAAGUGUUUUAAAGUUUUAAAGCAAAAGGUUCUCAAAAAUCUACAGAAAUCAGAAGUUUCUGGAAGGUUUUAAGAAGGACGGUUUGAUCUUUUAUUAGCACUGCAAGAUUUUGAUGUUUUCGAAGCUUUGAAGAUGCUCAAAAGCUUGUAAGGUAAUUUUUCGAACAAUCUUGGCCGGAUUGUGGUCUACAUCUUUCUAGCAAACUUUGAUAUUUGUGUAUUCUUUGAUUUUCAUCAUUAGAGAGGUAAAACUUGAUGGACAGUUCAAUAUCGGGAUAUGUACUCUAUUGAGAGAUAUUUGUGAACACUUAAAUCAUAUAUUUACAAUCAUGCUCAUCCAGAAGGUGCAAUUGUUGAAGGUGAUGACGCAAAUGAGGAAUUACAUUUUUCUCAAACUAUUUUAAGAGUAUCUCAACUAAGUUCAAUAAAUCAGAAAGAAAUGAUGAUGGAUUUGAAUCAAACGGGGAUAUGUCUAUCUUUAAAAAAAGUGGGCAAACAAAGGGGUCUUCUAAUGGAAAGAAACUACCCCACGAUCAAUUCAACCAAGCAGUUAUGCAUAUUCUUCAAAACUGUGAAGAGGUUUCACCAUUCAUGGACAAAUGAAAGGAAUUGGUCGAGGACGUGGACGACGUAAAGGUAAUAGUGGAAGAGAUGGUGCAGGAGGUGGACGUGAAAAUUUCUAAGAACGUGAACAUUUUGGUACUACAUCUCAGCCAACAAUACAACAAAUAAGAGUUGCUGAAGUAUAAUUGGAGACAGGACAGACACCUAACCCAAGUCAACGACGUCUACAAGUGGAACAAAUAUCAAGUGAUCCUCUCCAAAGAACAUCUCCAGGGACAAUAAUCAAUAAAUCUAGAAGAAAGUAUUCGUCCUUCCAUAGAGGUUGAAAUUGGUAUAUGCUAGUUCAUAUACCACCCUAGUAGAUAGACUCAAUUGCUUAAUAUCAAGCAACUUCAGCACAUGAUGGGUGAAGUUGGUCCAACACAGUUGACAACAGGAUGUUGAUUUUGAUUCUCAUGUGAUAGUUUUUCUUUUUGCAAGUAUAUUGGGUGCUGUAAUACGAGUGUAUAUCAAUUUUAUCAAGAAUGUAGAGCUAGUUAUUGUUUCAUUCUUAUUCAAGUGUAUAACCAUGUUACAACAAUGAAUCUCUAGCACAAAGUAGAGUUUGUUAAAUGUUCUUAUCGAUAUAACAAUUGAGUGUGGUUUGAUGUGUUAA